CAGCGUCUCCGUCAUACCAGAGCUGAUUGGAUUGAGCAAGUGCGGACAAUACUACAACGUGGGACUAUUAAGAGUUUUUGUUGAAAAGCUUUGAUUCUAGACCUUUACCGAAGGAAGGGUGUGAACCUUGAAGUUCUUAAAAAUAUGAACUAGAUGGGUUUUGGCCAGGUUUUUUCCCCCCCCCUUGGAUUCAAACACGAACCUCGCUGAUUCCAAGUGGCGAGCUACCAAUGGAUUGGUGAUUCCUACGAGCGUUACCAGGACGACUUGUGAUUCCACCUUCACUGUAAUCUUGUAGCGACACCGAGGUCGUGGGAUGGCCGGGUAGGACACCAGCUGCUCAAUGCCUGCUCUCCUCAAGAUGUGGGCAGCAUCUCGCUCCAGCGUCUCGUGGUGUCCUAUGACAUCGUAGUGGAUGUCACAUGGCGCACACAACUCUGCAUACGUCAUCCAGUGAAUGAUGUGCCUGCCAAACUGACGAUCCAUCCGGCGGCGGCCCUCAACGUCCCCCAGGCACAAACAACAGUCAGGACCCGUCCCCCCACCUGAAGGCGGAAGGAGGCUACCCUCUCGUCCACCAGGCUGAACCCCAACGUACAGGCGUCGAGCCGGGGGGCAAGAAGUAUACCCACACCUGCUCGACGCCUCUCACCGUGGGCAACUCCAGAGUGGAAGAGAGUCCAACCCCUCUUGAGAGGACUGGUACCAUGUGUGGAGGCGAGCCCGACUAUAUCUAUUCGGAACUUCUUGACCUCACACACCAGCUCGGGCUCCUUCCCUGCCAGAGAGGUGACAUUCCACGCCCCUAGAGCCAGCCGGGGAUCGGAUCGCCCAGCUCACACUGCACCCGACCCCUAUGGCAUCUCCCACAGGCGGUGAGCCCAUAGGAAAGGGGACCCACGUUAGCCUCUCGAGCUGUACCCGGCCGGGCCCCAUGGGUGCAUGCCUGGCCACCAGGCGCUCGCCUUCGAGCCCCACCUCCAGGCCUUGCUCCAGAGGGGGGCCCAGUGACCCCCAUCCAUGUAAGAGAAACCUCAAUCUAUUAACAUCUUUCUUCAUAGGGGUCUUUUUGCCAUGCUUUGUCUGGUCCCUCACCUAGGACCUGUUUGCCAUGGGUGACCCUACCAGGGGCGUGAAGCCCCAGACAACUUAGCUCCUAGGAUCCUUGGGACACAAACCCCUCCACCACGAUAAGGUGACUGGAGGGGAGGGGUUUACAAUGGCAAUGGACUUAAUAUAUCAACAAUAAUUACAGGCAGCACAUGCCAACAAUGGUAAGGAAACAACAAGCACAAAGCAGUACUGCAAAAAAAGAAUUGCUAUGUCUAUUGACACCCCUUCUCCCCAUACUGCAACCAAACCAUAUGUUUAUACAAUAGUUUUAAUUUAUGAAUAUUUUGGCAUAGCUUGCAAUGUGUAUCCAGACUAUUCUGCAAUGUCACACCACAUACAGACACAGAAACUCUUACGGGUAGUUCGGAAAUUGGGCAAUUUGAAAUCUCCUUACCCUUUUUGUGACUGCGCUCUAUUAUUUUAAACCAACUUUUUAAGUUACUUGGUAACAAGUUGUUGAAUGCUUUGAAUAAAAUAAUUAUUGUAGAAUAUUUUAGAAGAUCAGGAAUCUUUAGAAACUUGU
Long non-coding RNA from Phycodurus eques (leafy seadragon), 1636 nucleotides. RefSeq lists it as uncharacterized. NCBI's taxonomy places the organism in Eukaryota, Metazoa, Chordata, Actinopteri, Syngnathiformes, Syngnathidae. The transcript has 4 exons. The record is from RefSeq and is a predicted model, not a curated record.